UACGAAGGGGGCUAGCGUUGCUCGGAAUCACUGGGCGUAAAGGGCGCGUAGGCGGACUCUUAAGUCGGGGGUGAAAGCCCAGGGCUCAACCCCGGAAUUGCCUUCGAUACUGAGAGUCUUGAGUUCGGAAGAGGUUGGUGGAACUGCGAGUGUAGAGGUGAAAUUCGUAGAUAUUCGCAAGAACACCAGUGGCGAAGGCGGCCAACUGGUCCGAUACUGACGCUGAGGCGCGAAAGCGUGGGGAGCAAACAGG
Molecule: ribosomal RNA, 253 nt
Filed under: uncultured bacterium
Lineage: Bacteria
Description: partial 16S ribosomal RNA
Rfam family: Bacterial small subunit ribosomal RNA
Source: RNAcentral